CAUGUAGGCGGUGCUGCGCGUUUCGCGUGACAGCGGGUGGCUUAACUAUCCGAGGGUGCGAAAGACGGCAGGACUUGAGGGCCAGAGAGGGACACGGAAUUCCGGGUGGAGUGGUGAAAUGCGUAGAGAUCCGGAGGAACACCGAAGGCGAAGGCAGUGUCCUGGCUGGUGACUGACGCUGAGGUGCGAAAGCCAGGGGAGCGAACGGGAUUAGAUACCCCGGUAGUCCUGGCCGUAAACGAUGACCACCAGGUGUGGGAGGUAUCGACCCCUUCCGUGCCGGAGGAAACCCACUAAGUGGUCCGCCUGGGGAGUACGGUCGCAAGAUUAAAA
Molecule: ribosomal RNA, 333 nt
Filed under: uncultured bacterium
Lineage: Bacteria
Description: bacterial SSU rRNA
Rfam family: Bacterial small subunit ribosomal RNA
Source: RNAcentral